GAUGAACGCUGGCGGCGUGCCUAAUACAUGCAAGUCGAGCGAACGGACGAGAAGCUUGCUUCUCUGAUGUUAGCGGCGGACGGGUGAGUAACACGUGGAUAACCUACCUAUAAGACUGGGAUAACUUCGGGAAACCGGAGCUAAUACCGGAUAAUAUUUUGAACCGCAUGGUUCAAAAGUGAAAGACGGUCUUGCUGUCACUUAUAGAUGGAUCCGCGCUGUAUUAGCUAGUUGGUAAGGUAACGGCUUACCAAGGCAACGAUGCAUAGCCGACCUGAGAGGGUGAUCGGCCACACUGGAACUGAGACACGGUCCAGACUCCUACGGGAGGCAGCAGUAGGGAAUCUUCCGCAAUGGGCGAAAGCCUGACGGAGCAACGCCGCGUGAGUGAUGAAGGUCUUCGGAUCGUAAAACUCUGUUAUUAGGGAAGAGCAUAUGUGUAAGUAACUAUGCACAUCUUGACGGUACCUAAUCAGAAAGCCACGGCUAACUACGUG
This 497-nucleotide ribosomal RNA is filed under the name uncultured bacterium. RNAcentral describes it as "partial 16S ribosomal RNA". It matches the Rfam family "Bacterial small subunit ribosomal RNA", at positions 28 to 507 of the family's 1533-position model. The record is from RNAcentral.